Molecule: transfer RNA, 64 nt
Filed under: Somanniathelphusa bawangensis
Lineage: Eukaryota; Metazoa; Arthropoda; Malacostraca; Decapoda; Parathelphusidae
Description: tRNA-Phe
Source: RNAcentral
AUUUAUAUAAUUUAUAAAGAAUAUUACAUUGAAGAUGUAAAAGAGAUAAGAAUAUCUAUAAAUA